ACCUUCAUGUGGUGCAGUCGGUCAGCAUGUCUGGCUGUUAAUCAGAAGUUUGAUGGUUCGAGUCCACCCAGGGAUG
Non-coding RNA from Podarcis lilfordi (Lilford's wall lizard), 76 nucleotides. NCBI's taxonomy places the organism in Eukaryota, Metazoa, Chordata, Lepidosauria, Squamata, Lacertidae. The record is from the annotation of a GenBank genome assembly.